Molecule: ribosomal RNA, 527 nt
Filed under: uncultured bacterium
Lineage: Bacteria
Description: bacterial SSU rRNA
Rfam family: Bacterial small subunit ribosomal RNA
Source: RNAcentral
UAAACGUGCCGCCUGGGGAGUACGGUCGCAAGAUUAAAACUCAAAGAAUUGACGGGGACCCGCACAAGCGGUGGAGUAUGUGGCUUAAUUCGAUGCAACGCGAAGAACUUACCAAGGCUUGACAUCCCGUGACCGUCUGUGAAAGCAGAUUUUCUAUUCGUAGACACGAGACAGGUGCUGCAUGGCCGUCGUCAGCUCGUGUCGUGAGAUGUUUGGUUAAGUCCAGCACGAGCGCAACCCCUGCUGCCAGUUACCAUCAUUAAGUUGGGGACUCUGGCGGGACUGCCAGAUCAACUGGGAGGAAGGUGGGGACGACGUCAGGUCAGUAUGGCCCUUAUGCCUUGGGCGCACACGUACUACAAUGCCCAGUACAGAGGGAAGCCAACCCGCGAGGGUGAGCAGAUCCCAAAAGUGGGCCCAGUUCGGAUUGGAGGCUGCAACUCGCCUCCAUGAAGCCGGAAUCGCUAUAAUGGCGCAUCAGCUACGGCGCCGUGAAUACGUUCCCGGGUCUUGCACACACCGCCCGU